This 274-nucleotide long non-coding RNA is filed under the name Olea europaea (common olive). RNAcentral's name for it is "long non-coding RNA (OEUR_LNC011274)". Lineage: Eukaryota; Viridiplantae; Streptophyta; Magnoliopsida; Lamiales; Oleaceae. The record is from RNAcentral.
UUCUAUCAAAUGUUUACUAGUACACUAUUCCUUGUUGAGAGUACAUCAAAUUAUCUGCUAAGUUCUGCCAUAUGCAAGUGUGUGAAAAAUUGGUUGUUAGUGCAAGAAUGAAGAUACUAUUGUUUGAAUAGACACUUCCGUCAACAUAUCAUACACAUAAGGAUCGCAAUUGAGACGGAGUAUUUCUCGGACUAAUAUUCUGCUACAGUUCUUUUUGCAAGAAAUUGCAAUUGCAAGCGAAAAAAUAGGUGGUUAAGCUGCGUCUCGUCCGUAC